RNAcentral lists this unclassified non-coding RNA (205 nucleotides) under uncultured Agaricales. RNAcentral describes it as "sequence contains ITS2". The record is from RNAcentral. Lineage: Eukaryota; Fungi; Basidiomycota; Agaricomycetes; Agaricales.
AAUUCUCAAAAGAACCCAGGUUUCGAUCAGGGCUCUUUUGGACUGUGAGGGCUGCUGGUCUCCCUAGAUCAGACUCCCUUUAAAUACAUUAGUGGUUACCGAUCCGCUUCCACUUAGGUGUGAUAGGUCUAUCUACGCCGCUUGGAAUGAUCAGUUGCUAUCCGCUCCCUAACCUUGUCCGUCUUAGGACAAAGCUUCAUUGACA